This is a non-coding RNA of Nerophis lumbriciformis (worm pipefish), 2214 nucleotides long. NCBI's taxonomy places the organism in Eukaryota, Metazoa, Chordata, Actinopteri, Syngnathiformes, Syngnathidae. The record is from RefSeq and is a predicted model, not a curated record.
GUAAUGGAGGACGUGAGAUGUGCGAGUGUGAGGGAGAAGAGAGGCAGAAAAAGGCAAAUGUGGGAUGUUGAAGUGUGGAGGGGGAGGGAUGCUGCAUUUCAGACUGCAGGAGGAGACAGAAGGAUGGAGAGGAGAGAACCAGAUGAAGCGUCUCUUCUCUCCGCCACCCCUCCAGAGUGUGAUGAUGACUUAUGGGAGGACGGAACAUUGAACACAGCCUGAAGAAUGGAGAAGAGUGCAAGAGACCACCUGGAAUCUACCUGAGACUUGAAAACAAGAGCAAGGAAACAGACUUUUUUCUUAAUCCGCAGGCUUCCAUGGGUCUGGGAAGGGUGCGGAGACCGUGAACGUAGGAUGGCGUGUUGCUAGGGAAGAGCUCCGAGAACAGUUGCAAUCUUCUGGAAGGAAAAGGGAGGAGAUAACAGUAUGACUCACAGCAGCUCGAAUGCUGUUUUGUAUGCCGGAGCAGAGCCGGGGGGAGAUAGAGGAGAAACGAGACACACACAGGAAGAUAAAUAGAGCGCACACCAGUACAAGUGAGCAGUUGUCGAAUGAAGAAAGAAGACCGAGGGACGGUGAGUUAGAGACGGUGGGAGGAGGAGGGCGAAGGUGAAAGUUGGAGGAGAGUUGAUAGAGGGAAGGGUUGUUGAAGACUGGGCACUGGAAACAAGACCGCUGCCAAAAAUGUGACAUUUGAAUACGAGAACAUGAGAACAAAGUCGCUCCAGACCAAAAUAGAAACGCGGCAAAGCAGUAAACACAACAUGGGAAGUUGAACUGUGACGACUGCUUUUAAAUAUUCAUGCCGACGAAACACUCUGGGAAAGAACUUGCGUCUCCCUCCGUCGCAAAGGGACUACAGGACGAUUGUUUCUCAGGUGGAGAUCACGUGGAGUUUUGUUCUUCUUCUUUGUUAAUACCUCGAAACAGGACCUAGUACUCGCCUGUCGGAGCUUGGACGGGUGUCAAGAGAAGGCAUUGGCUGUUGGACAAAUAUCUGAAGGUCUGACGAAUCCACAUAUGACAGUCCGUUAAGGUCAGACCAGAUCGACUUUCAAGGUUUCUAUUCACCGAACCUGUUUGGAAUCCACUGUACUCAAGACGGAUUCCUAGAACCUAGAAAAUCCUAUUUCUAGAUAAGGACGGCUGCCGUAGCUGGAGGGAGCCCUGUGCUGGCUGUCCGUAGAAUCAUCCUUCAGGAUCCAGAAUGUGUCGUUUUUGUUUGGCACCGAGGCUUCAGGAUACUCUCCCUCAAGCCCUGACCUGAAUAUCCAAUUCCUCAAAAACAAUAAAACAGGACAGCAACACGGUCUCGCAGCCCCGCAGCUGUAGAAAGACCAGCUUGGCGUUGGCGUGCGUCCGUAAGGACUGUCGAGGAGCUCCAGAAGGAUGUAGACUUGUGUGUGCCUGCCAAGCUUCCCAGACAGCUGAAGUGUGUGUGGGGUGUGUGUGUGUGUGCGAUACAACUGGACCAGAGCAGCGGUGGUGAGCGGAGGCACUGGGAGGGGGACGAAGGUGAGGAAAACCAAGGGACGAGAAGAUCGGGAGAAAAACUGACAUCAUGCUCGGCUAAAGAAAAUAAUGACAAUAGUUUCUAGCUGCCCCCCUGGUGCAAUGUGUGGCGUGGGGCCCCGUGGCGCUGGGGUCCUGUGAUGGUAACCAUGGUCCCCGGCAGCCGCUACGUCUGCAGCACUCACGCCAGGGAGGGCGACUCCACCAACGACCGAGAGGAGCGGAUCUUAGCCGUGUUGGGCAUCAUCGGAACCAUCCUCAACCUUCUCGUGGUCAUAUUUGUCUACAUCUACACCACCGUCACUUAGGAGCCUCCGGACCGUUUCCCCCGACGUCUCGACUGUCACCCGGAGGGCGAGUUGGCGUUGUGUUGGGUUGGCUAGUCGCCACGGCUGCAGCGCUGUGAGGACACUUCUACUCCGUUUUCCCAAAGACCGCCGCCCAACGUCACAUCUUCUUUGCCUUCCAGACGGCCGCCAAUGACCGCUGACAGCGUCUGCCUGCCUUCCUGACAUCGCUUUUCUACCAAGACAGGACUUGACGGGGGGUUUUAUCGACGUUUCAGACUGUCGAUAUCGCUGUUUUUGUUAGAAAGAUCGCGUUUUUUUCGUUGCCUGAUAAAUAUUCACAGACCAGAAGCUAGUAGUGACAAAGAAGAAACUAAAUAUAGUAUUGCUAGCACAAUACAAACCACUAUAGCUG